Molecule: ribosomal RNA, 676 nt
Filed under: Inocybe agglutinata
Lineage: Eukaryota; Fungi; Basidiomycota; Agaricomycetes; Agaricales; Inocybaceae
Also listed under: 2 other names
Description: eukaryotic LSU rRNA
Rfam family: Eukaryotic large subunit ribosomal RNA
Source: RNAcentral
UUGACCUCAAAUCAGGUAGGACUACCCGCUGAACUUAAGCAUAUCAAUAAGCGGAGGAAAAGAAACUAACAAGGAUUCCCCUAGUAACUGCGAGUGAAGCGGGAAGAGCUCAAAUUUGAAAUCUGGCAGUUCUUGAACUGUCCGAGUUGUAAUCUAGAGAAGUGUUACCUGUGCUGGACCGUGUACAAGUCUUCUGGAAUGGAGCAUCACAGAGGGUGAGAAUCCCGUCUUUGACAUGGACUACCUGUGCGAUAUGGUGCGCUCUCAAAGAGUCGAGUUGUUUGGGAAUGCAGCUCAAAAUGGGUGGUAAAUGCCAUCUAAAGCUAAAUAUUGGCGAGAGACCGAUAGCGAACAAGUACCGUGAGGGAAAGAUGAAAAGAACUUUGGAAAGAGAGUUAAACAGUACGUGAAAUUGCUGAAAGGGAAACGCUUGAAGUCAGUCACGUCGGCUAGAAAUCAACCUUGCUUUUGCUUGGUGUACUUUCUGGUUGAUGGGUCAGCAUCAAUUUUGACCAUCGGAUAAAGUCAUUGGGAAUGUGGCAUCUUAGGAUGUGUUAUAGCCCGGUGUUGCAUACGGUGGUUGGGAUUGAGGAACUCAGCACGGCCGAAAGGCCCAGGAGAGUUUACUCCAUGUUCGUGCUUAGGAUGCUGGCAUAAUGGCUUUAAUCGACCCGUC